GACGAACGCUGGCGGCGUGCUUAACACAUGCAAGUCGAACGCUGAAGCUUGGUGCUUGCACUGGGUGGAUGAGUGGCGGACGGGUGAGUAAUACGUGAGUACCCUGCCCUUGACUCUGGGAUAAGCCUGGGAAACUGGGUCUAAUACUGGAUACGACAUGUCACCGCAUGGUGGUGUGUGGAAAGGGUUUUACUGGUUUUGGAUGGGCUCACGGCCUAUCAGCUUGUUGGUGGGGUAAUGGCUCACCAAGGCGACGACGGGUAGCCGGCCUGAGAGGGUGACAGGACACACUGGGAUUGAGAUACGGCCCAGACUCCUACGGUAGGCAGCAGAGGGGAAUAUUGCACAAUGGGCGGGAGCCUGAUGCGACGACGCCGCGUGGGGGAUGACGGGAUUCGGGUUGUAAACCUCUUUCAGCACGGAAGAAGCGAAAGUGACGGUACGUGAAGAAGAAGCGCCGGCUAACUACGUG
This 472-nucleotide ribosomal RNA is filed under the name uncultured bacterium. Its description in RNAcentral is "partial 16S ribosomal RNA". It matches the Rfam family "Bacterial small subunit ribosomal RNA", at positions 28 to 507 of the family's 1533-position model. The record is from RNAcentral.